AUGGAGGGCGACGACCGGAGCGCCCCGCUGCUGGCCAACGGCGCCGGCCGGCCGUCGCUCCGGCGGCGCGACUCGGCGCGGUCGCUGCGCAGCAGCUUCCUGCGCCGGCUGCCGGACAAGAUGCGCACCGAGCUGGACCCCGAGCGCGGCGCCGACGUCGACGUCGCCCGCGUCAAGGACCUCUCCCAAGGUGAGAGGGAGUACUACAGGAAGCAGCUCGCCGCGCUGAAGACCUUCGAGGAGGUGGAGGCCCUGUGCAUGCCCGGCGAGUUCGGCUCGGACGACGACGGCGACCCCGACGCCGACGACGCCGACGACGAGGAGCAGAAGCAGAGCGAGCUCGCCAUGAAGAUUUCCAACUACGCCAACAUCGUCCUCCUGGCCUUCAAGGUGAUUGAUUGGCUCAAUUGCGCGACGGAGCACGCGAAAUCGAUCGCCCUGACCUCUGAUUCUGAUUCCUUCGGGCUGCAGGUGUAUGCCACGAUCAGGACGGGGUCCAUGGCGAUCGCGGCGUCCACGCUGGACUCGCUGCUGGACCUGAUGGCCGGCGGCAUCCUCUGGUUCACGCACCUCUCCAUGAAGAAGGUGAACAUCUACAAGUACCCCAUCGGCAAGCUGCGCGUCCAGCCGGUGGGGAUCAUCGUCUUCGCCGCCAUCAUGGCCACUCUAGGCUUCCAGGUCCUGGUGCAGGCGAUCGAGCAGCUGGUGGAGAACGAGCCCGGCGACAAGCUGACCUCGGAGCAGCUGAUAUGGCUCUACUCCAUCAUGCUCUCGGCCACCGCCGUCAAGCUCGCCCUCUGGUUCUACUGCAGGAGCUCCGGGAACAGCAUCGUCCGGGCGUACGCCAAGGACCACUACUUCGAUGUGAUCACCAACGUCGUCGGCCUGGUGGCCGCCGUCCUGGGAGACAGGUUCCUGUGGUGGAUCGACCCCGCCGGAGCCGUGCUCCUCGCGGUGUACACCAUUGCGAACUGGUCCGGGACCGUGCUUGAACAAGCAGUCUCGCUGGUGGGGCGGAGCGCUCCGCCGGAGAUGCUGCAGAUGCUGACCUACCUCGCCAUGAAGCACGACGCGCGCGUGCAGCGGGUCGACACGGUCCGGGCCUACAGCUUCGGCGCCCUCUACUUCGUCGAGUUCAUGGAGUACAUUCUUCUUCUCCGGGUCUGGCACCAGGUCGACAUCGUGCUCUCGGAGGACAUGCGGCUGCGGGAAGCGCACGCCAUCGGGGAGUCGCUGCAGGAGAGGAUCGAGAAGCUGCCGGAAGUGGAGCGGGCGUUCGUCCAUGCGGACUUCGAGACCACCCAUAAGCCGGAGCACACGGUCCGGAGCAGGCUGCCGGCGACCGAGCCCUGA
Molecule: ribosomal RNA, 1353 nt
Filed under: Triticum aestivum (bread wheat)
Lineage: Eukaryota; Viridiplantae; Streptophyta; Magnoliopsida; Poales; Poaceae
Description: partial small subunit ribosomal RNA
Source: RNAcentral